UGACCUGUGGCUGGGGGUGAAAGGCCAAUCAAACCGGGAGAUAGCUGGUUCUCCCCGAAAGCUAUUUAGGUAGCGCCUCGUGAAUUCAUCUCCGGGGGUAGAGCACUGUUUCGGCUAGGGGGCCAUCCCGGCUUACCAACCCGAUGCAAACUGCGAAUACCGGAGAAUGUUAUCACGGGAGACACACGGCGGGUGCUAACGUCCGUCGUGAAGAGGGAAACAACCCAGACCGCCAGCUAAGGUCCCAAAGUCAUGGUUAAGUGGGAAACGAUGUGGGAAGGCCCAGACAGCCAGGAUGUUGGCUUAGAAGCAGCCAUCAUUUAAAGAAAGCGUAAUAGCUCACUGGUCGAGUCGGCCUGCGCGGAAGAUGUAACGGGGCUAAACCAUGCACCGAAGCUGCGGCAGCGACACUGUGUGUUGUUGGGUAGGGGAGCGUUCUGUAAGCCUG
RNAcentral lists this ribosomal RNA (448 nucleotides) under Salmonella enterica subsp. enterica serovar Glostrup. RNAcentral describes it as "partial 23S ribosomal RNA". It matches the Rfam family "Bacterial large subunit ribosomal RNA", at positions 805 to 1251 of the family's 2925-position model. The record is from RNAcentral. Lineage: Bacteria; Pseudomonadati; Pseudomonadota; Gammaproteobacteria; Enterobacterales; Enterobacteriaceae.